AUUGCCUACGGGGCGCAGCAGUGGGGGAUACUCCACAAUGGGCGAAAGCCUGAUGGAGCAACGCCGCGUGGGUGAAGAAGGUCUUCGGAUCGUAAAACCCUGUUGUUAGAGAAGAAAGUGCGUGAGAGUAACUGUUCACGUUUCGACGGUAUCUAACCAGAAAGCCACGGCUAACUACGUGCCAGCAGCCGCGGUAAUACGUAAGUGGCAAGCGUUAUCCGGAUUUAUUGGGCGUAAAGGGAACGCAGGCGGUCUUUUAAGUCUGAUGUGAAAGCCUUCGGCUUAACCGGAGUAGUGCAUUGGAA
This 305-nucleotide ribosomal RNA is filed under the name uncultured bacterium. Its description in RNAcentral is "bacterial SSU rRNA". It matches the Rfam family "Bacterial small subunit ribosomal RNA", at positions 333 to 631 of the family's 1533-position model. The record is from RNAcentral.